Molecule: long non-coding RNA, 1537 nt
Filed under: Callithrix jacchus (white-tufted-ear marmoset)
Lineage: Eukaryota; Metazoa; Chordata; Mammalia; Primates; Cebidae
Description: lncRNA (ENSCJAG00000075876.1)
Source: RNAcentral
UUUAUAUGUCAGAUAUGGUUCUAAUUCUGGACAAACUAUCCAUUUCCCUGGAUCUAGGAGUCCAUAUUUAUAGGCGAUGACAUUCUCCUCUGUAAAGAAUCAUAACAGCAACCAUUUCUUGCGUGUGUAUUAUGCCCACAUGCUUGACAUGUGCCAUCAUUCUCAUUUUACUGUUGAGGAAACUGAGGCUCGGGCAGGUCUAAUGACUUGCCCCAUACUACACAAAUAGAAAGUGGCAAAGUCAGUUUGAAAUGGGGGUUCUUGGAAUCUGAAGUCUGACAUCAGCUACUAUACCACAGCAAUGACAACUGUGAUACAAACCCAGGGACCUAGACUACAGGUUCAAGGAAGUAAAGGAAAUUUUAGAAGCAAGAUGGGCAGUAUCAUCUUUUGUCUACUUAGUAGGAGGCAAAGGGUAAGAGAAAAGAAGAAAUCUGCCAUUAAGAGCUAUAUAAAGGUGAGAGACGAGUGAAAGUCUUACUUUGUGGGUGCUUGUUAGCCAUGAGUCCUGGUCCUAGUCCUAUCCUGAGAACUAGUCUCCUGCCCUUGUUUUCUGGUAGGCAUUCUUGUAUACUUACUAUGCAUUCUCUUUUCCAGUUAAGCUGGAAUUUAUGGCACCUAGAAUUUAAACAAAUUGAGCCAAGUCCUGUGGCUACUUAGCAGUAGGAGCUGGGUUCAGACCCAUCUCCUAGUGCUGUCUCCAUCACACUCCAAGCACCCACCCUGGCUGCCUCACUGUUUUGCAAAUAUACUGAGCUCAGGAGCUCAUGCCAAUCCUAUUACAGUUUGCUCCUCCCGUCACAAACAGCCUUAGAGACCACUUCCUCUCCUCAUUUAGGUCUCAAUUCAAAUGUCACUCAGAGAUACCUACCCUGACAACCUCAUCUAAAAUAGUCUCUAACUUCUUUCUUGUAUACUUAUUGUAAAUAAUAAGUUUCUAGGCUUUGCAUAUUUAUUUUUACUAAAACUUACUGAUACUAGAAUUGAUAGUGCAUAUUUAUUUGUAUACUUGUUUAUCUGUCUCUCUCCCUGCCCACCAGAAAUAUAAGCCCUUUGAGGUCUGGGGUCACCUUUCUUAUUCAUUGCUGUAUUUUCAGUGCACUGACUAGAACUGCACCUGUCAUAUAGAAGAUACCCGUAAAUGUUUGUUUCAUCAGUUCAUUAAGCCUAAAUCAAUGCCUUUUUCAUGGCCUUAUAUUUGAUCACAAUCCUAGGGACACUCAAAAAAAUCCCACUGGAAUAAUCCCAAUAGUCUGGAAGGUCAAGGCAGGUGAAUCAGUUGAGGCCAGGAGUUCAAGACCAGCCUGGCCAAAAAGGGGAAACCCCGUCUCUACUGAAAAUACAAAAAUUAGCCAGGCAUGGUGGCACAUGCCUGUAGUCCCAGCUACUUGGGAGGCUGAGGCAGGAGAAUUGCCUGAAACAGGGAGGCGGAGGUUGCAAUGAGCCAAGAUGGUGCCACAGCACUCCAGCCUGAGUGAUAGAGCAGGACCUUCUCUCAAGGAAAAAAAAAAAAAAGGAAUGAAAACAAUCUCUGAAG